UACGUAGGGUGCAAGCGUUGUCCGGAAUUAUUGGGCGUAAAGAGCUCGUAGGCGGUUUGUCGCGUCUGCUGUGAAAACUGGAGGCUCAACCUCCAGCCUGCAGUGGGUACGGGCAAACUAGAGUGCGGUAGGGGAGAUUGGAAUUCCUGGUGUAGCGGUGGAAUGCGCAGAUAUCAGGAGGAACACCGAUGGCGAAGGCAGAUCUCUGGGCCGUAACUGACGCUGAGGAGCGAAAGCGUGGGGAGCAAACAGG
Molecule: ribosomal RNA, 253 nt
Filed under: uncultured bacterium
Lineage: Bacteria
Description: partial 16S ribosomal RNA
Rfam family: Bacterial small subunit ribosomal RNA
Source: RNAcentral